Molecule: non-coding RNA, 1153 nt
Organism: Podarcis lilfordi (Lilford's wall lizard)
Lineage: Eukaryota; Metazoa; Chordata; Lepidosauria; Squamata; Lacertidae
Source: the annotation of a GenBank genome assembly
CCGUACAUCUUCCUGAAGUGCAUCGUUAAACUGGAAUUCCAGACCUUCCAAGUGUCCCUAUUUUUCAGGGACAGUCCUGGAUUUACAGAAGUCACCCUAGUUUCUGAUUUGAUCUCAGGUUGGGGGGCGGGGAAAGGAUAGCGGGAUCUAAGAAAUUUGCUAUAGGGACGUAUGGAUCUGAAAUUCCAAUACCAUGCUGAAACGCUGUACAGUGGUACCUCAGGUUACAUACGCUUCAGGUUACAUACGCUUCAGGUAAAGACUCUGCUAACCCAGAAAUAGUGCUUCAGGUUAAGAACUUUGCUUCAGGAUCAGAACAGAAAUUGUGCAGCGGCGGUGCAGGGACAGCUGGAGGCCCCAUUAGCUAAAGUGGUGCUUCAGGUUAAGAACAGUUUCAGGUUAAGUACGGACCUCCGGAACGAAUUAAGUACUUAACCUGAGGUACCACUGUACUGGAGGAAAGGCCCCUUGGGAAUUUGGGACUCUGCAUGAAAAAGUGUGGAGCAGUGGUGGCUUCAAGGUUUUCAUGACAAUCCCGGCAUUUUCAGGGCAGUUGGAGGAUAUGAUAUGGAUGUCAGAAGGUAGAUAGCUUGGAAGCUACUGUGUUAGGCUUGGUCCUCCCCCUCCCCGAUGGGGCUGCUGAUGGUAGGGACCAUUUUGUGCUCCUGUUUUUGUUUUGUUUUUCUCUCUUUCAGAUGCAGCAGCCAUUCUGUAUUCUGCCACUUCCCGCACAGCAGCCAUUUUGUGACUGGCGCCCACGCCACCCUCUCAAAAUCCAUAAUGUGUCCAGUGGCCCCAAGCUUGAACCUGGACCGAGGCCUUCAUAAAAUGUAUCUUCAAAGGUUUUCCAUCUUUUAUCUUGCCAUGAGUUCUGGUCCAAGAAUACAGCUGAGAUGGUAGCCUUGGGCCCCUCAAAUAAAUGACAGGCUUCCUUCCUGUAUUUUCUGAGCUUUCCCAAGGAUAGGAGUCAGUUUUUAAGCCUGAAAGGUGUGUUGGCUCCCUCGGCCAAUAAAGCAAGAUGAGCGCCGCAACCCCAGAGUCCUCUGCGACUGGACCUAAUGGUCAGGGAUCCCUUUCCCUUUUAAAAUCAGAAAUAUAUAGCAAAAUGUGUGAGAGGAAUUCUACCAAAGUUCCUCAGGAGGAAUGAAGCCAC